This 758-nucleotide ribosomal RNA is filed under the name Porphyromonadaceae bacterium enrichment culture. Its description in RNAcentral is "bacterial SSU rRNA". It matches the Rfam family "Bacterial small subunit ribosomal RNA", at positions 28 to 774 of the family's 1533-position model. Lineage: Bacteria; Pseudomonadati; Bacteroidota; Bacteroidia; Bacteroidales; Porphyromonadaceae. The record is from RNAcentral.
GAUGAACGCUAGCGAUAGGCCUAACACAUGCAAGUCGAGGGGCAGCACAUGAAGUAGCAAUACGGAUGGUGGCGACCGGCGCACGGGUGAGUAACGCGUAUGCAACCUGCCUACAACAGGGGAAUAACCCGUUGAAAGACGGACUAAUACCCCAUAACACAGGGAUCCCGCAUGGGAAUAUUUGUUAAAGAUUUAUCGGUUGUAGAUGGGCAUGCGUUCCAUUAGCUGGUUGGUGAAGUAACGGCUCACCAAGGCAACGAUGGAUAGGGGAACUGAGAGGUUUAUCCCCCACACUGGUACUGAGACACGGACCAGACUCCUACGGGAGGCAGCAGUGAGGAAUAUUGGUCAAUGGACGCAAGUCUGAACCAGCCACGUCGCGUGAAGGAAGACGGCCCUACGGGUUGUAAACUUCUUUUGUAAGGGAAUAAAGUGCAGUACGUGUACUGUUUUGCAUGUACCUUACGAAUAAGGAUCGGCUAACUCCGUGCCAGCAGCCGCGGUAAUACGGAGGAUCCGAGCGUUAUCCGGAUUUAUUGGGUUUAAAGGGUGCGCAGGCGGGAGAUUAAGUCGGCGGUGAAAUUUUGCAGCUCAACUGUAAAAGUGCCUUCGAAACUGGUUUUCUUGAGUGUGGAUGAAGUAGGCGGAAUUUGUGGUGUAGCGGUGAAAUGCAUAGAUAUCACGAGGAACUCCGAUUGCGCAGGCAGCUUACUAAACCAUAACUGACGCUCAGGCACGAAAGGCGUGGGGAUCAAACA